Molecule: ribosomal RNA, 525 nt
Filed under: Nanorana taihangnica (Taihangshan swelled-vented frog)
Lineage: Eukaryota; Metazoa; Chordata; Amphibia; Anura; Dicroglossidae
Description: partial 16S ribosomal RNA
Rfam family: Bacterial large subunit ribosomal RNA
Source: RNAcentral
CCAGUGACUUAGUUAAACGGCCGCGGUAUCCUGACCGUGCGAAGGUAGCAUAAUCACUUGUUCUUUAAAUAAGGACUAGUAUCAACGGCAUCACGAGGGUUAUACUGUCUCCUCUCUCCAAUCAGUGAAACUGAUCUCCCCGUGAAGAAGCGGGGAUAAAUCUAUAAAACAAGAAAACCCCAUGGAGCUUUAAACUCAACAACAACUUCCCCCACAAAAUUCUACAUACUAAGGAAAACCUGCUUGUUAGUUUUAGGUUGGGGUGACCGCGGAAAAAAACUAAACCUCCACGACAAACGGAAUUAACUCCUAAUCUAAAAGCCACCGCUCUAAAAAUCAAUAAAUUGACAUAAACUGAUCCGAUAAUCGAUCAACGGACCAAGUUACCCUGGGGAUAACAGCGCAAUCCAUUUCAAGAGCCCCUAUCGACAAAUGGGUUUACAACCUCGAUGUUGGAUCAGGGUAUCCCAGUGGUGCAGCCGCUACUAAAGGUUUGUUUGUUCAACAAUUAAAACCCUACGUGAU